AUGGAUUGUAACCUCAAAAUAGUAUUUUGGAACGUGCGGGGUUUAAACUCCGGUGCUAAAUGCUCGGUUGUGCGCAGUGUGAUCUCCACGGCAUUCCCUUCCAUUGUCUGUCUCCAAGAGAUGAAACUGGCUCAUGUCUCGGACUCCAUCGUACUCGACACUCUUGGCCCACAGUUCAAGGACUACUACUUCAUGCUAGCAACCGGCACCCGCGGUGACAUUCUCCUUGCCUGGCGGCGAUCGGAGACCUCCAUUUCCAACCCGUUGAUAGGCGAGCACCACUUCAUGGCGCUGGUCACCCCCCCCCUGAACAGCACCAACCACUGGUGGUUAACCGGUGUGUAUGGCCCAUAG
Molecule: ribosomal RNA, 354 nt
Filed under: Triticum aestivum (bread wheat)
Lineage: Eukaryota; Viridiplantae; Streptophyta; Magnoliopsida; Poales; Poaceae
Description: partial small subunit ribosomal RNA
Source: RNAcentral